GAUGAACGCUGGCGGCGUGCCUAAUACAUGCAAGUCGAGCGAACGGACGAGAAGCUUGCUUCUCUGAUGUUAGCGGCGGACGGGUGAGUAACACGUGGAUAACCUACCUAUAAGACUGGGAUAACUUCGGGAAACCGGAGCUAAUACCGGAUAAUAUUUUGAACCGCAUGGUUCAAAAGUGAAAGACGGUCUUGCUGUCACUUAUAGAUGGAUCCGCGCUGCAUUAGCUAGUUGGUAAGGUAACGGCUUACCAAGGCAACGAUGCAUAGCCGACCUGAGAGGGUGAUCGGCCACACUGGAACUGAGACACGGUCCAGACUCCUACGGGAGGCAGCAGUAGGGAAUCUUCCGCAAUGGGCGAAAGCCUGACGGAGCAACGCCGCGUGAGUGAUGAAGGUCUUCGGAUCGUAAAACUCUGUUAUUAGGGAAGAACAUAUGUGUAAGUAUCUGUGCACAUCUUGACGGUACCUAAUCAGAAAGCCACGGCUAACUACGUG
RNAcentral lists this ribosomal RNA (497 nucleotides) under uncultured bacterium. RNAcentral describes it as "partial 16S ribosomal RNA". It matches the Rfam family "Bacterial small subunit ribosomal RNA", at positions 28 to 507 of the family's 1533-position model. The record is from RNAcentral.